UGGGGAAUAUUGCACAAUGGGCGCAAGCCUGAUGCAGCCAUGCCGCGUGUAUGAAGAAGGCCUUCGGGUUGUAAAGUACUUUCAGUCGGGAGGAAGGUGGUAAGGUUAAUAACCUUGGCAAUUGACGUUACCGACAGAAGAAGCACCGGCUAACUCCGUGCCAGCAGCCGCGGUAAUACGGAGGGUGCAAGCGUUAAUCGGAAUUACUGGGCGUAAAGCGCACGCAGGCGGUUGAUUGAGUCAGAUGUGAAAUCCCCGGGCUUAACCCGGGAAUUGCAUCUGAUACUGGUCAGCUAGAGUCUUGUAGAGGGGGGUAGAAUUCCAUGUGUAGCGGUGAAGUGCGUAGAGAUGUGGAGGAAUACCGGUGGCGAAGGCGGCCCCCUGGACAAAGACUGACGCUCAGGUGCGAAAGCGUGGGGAGCAAACAGG
RNAcentral lists this ribosomal RNA (429 nucleotides) under Chloroflexota bacterium. RNAcentral's name for it is "Chloroflexi bacterium partial 16S ribosomal RNA". It matches the Rfam family "Bacterial small subunit ribosomal RNA", at positions 355 to 776 of the family's 1533-position model. The record is from RNAcentral. Lineage: Bacteria; Bacillati; Chloroflexota.